Molecule: ribosomal RNA, 2887 nt
Filed under: Vibrio parahaemolyticus VPCR-2010
Lineage: Bacteria; Pseudomonadati; Pseudomonadota; Gammaproteobacteria; Vibrionales; Vibrionaceae
Description: bacterial LSU rRNA
Rfam family: Bacterial large subunit ribosomal RNA
Source: RNAcentral
UAAGUGACUAAGCGUACACGGUGGAUGCCUUGGCAGUCAGAGGCGAUGAAAGACGUAGUAACUUGCGAUAAGCCCAGAUUAGGUAGUAACAACCAUUUGAGUCUGGGAUUUCUGAAUGGGGAAACCCACUUACAUAAGUAAGUAUCAUUAAUUGAAUACAUAGGUUAAUGAGGCGAACCGGGGGAACUGAAACAUCUAAGUACCCCGAGGAAAAGAAAUCAACCGAGAUUCCGAAAGUAGCGGCGAGCGAAAUUGGACUAGCCCUUAAGCUUUACACGCGUUAGACGAACGGUCUGGAAAGUCCGACGAUACAGGGUGAUAGUCCCGUAGUUGACGACGUGUGUUCAGUGAAAUCGAGUAGGGCGGGACACGUGAUAUCCUGUCUGAAUAUGGGGGGACCAUCCUCCAAGGCUAAAUACUACUGACUGACCGAUAGUGAACCAGUACCGUGAGGGAAAGGCGAAAAGAACCCCUGUGAGGGGAGUGAAAUAGAACCUGAAACCGUGUACGUACAAGCAGUAGGAGCAGGCUUUGUCCUGUGACUGCGUACCUUUUGUAUAAUGGGUCAGCGACUUAUAUUCAGUGGCAAGGUUAACCAUCUAGGGGAGCCGUAGGGAAACCGAGUCUUAACUGGGCGUUCAGUCUCUGGAUAUAGACCCGAAACCAGGUGAUCUAGCCAUGGGCAGGUUGAAGGUUGAGUAACAUCAACUGGAGGACCGAACCGACUAAUGUUGAAAAAUUAGCGGAUGACUUGUGGCUAGGGGUGAAAGGCCAAUCAAACCUGGAGAUAGCUGGUUCUCCCCGAAAGCUAUUUAGGUAGCGCCUCGGACGAAUACUACUGGGGGUAGAGCACUGUUAAGGCUAGGGGGUCAUCCCGACUUACCAACCCUUUGCAAACUCCGAAUACCAGUAAGUACUAUCCGGGAGACACACGGCGGGUGCUAACGUCCGUCGUGGAGAGGGAAACAACCCAGACCGCCAGCUAAGGUCCCAAAUUACUACUAAGUGGGAAACGAUGUGGGAAGGCUCAGACAGCCAGGAUGUUGGCUUAGAAGCAGCCAUCAUUUAAAGAAAGCGUAAUAGCUCACUGGUCGAGUCGGCCUGCGCGGAAGAUGUAACGGGGCUAAGUAGUAAACCGAAGCUGCGGCAAUGUGCUUUUGCACAUUGGGUAGGGGAGCGUUCUGUAAGCGGUUGAAGGUGUGUGGUAACGCAUGCUGGACGUAUCAGAAGUGCGAAUGCUGACAUGAGUAACGAUAAAGGGGGUGAAAAACCUCCUCGCCGGAAGACCAAGGGUUCCUGUCCAACGUUAAUCGGGGCAGGGUAAGUCGACCCCUAAGGCGAGGCCGAAAGGCGUAGUCGAUGGGAAACGGGUUAAUAUUCCCGUACUUCUUACAAUUGCGAUGGGGGGACGGAGAAGGCUAGGUGGGCCUGGCGACGGUUGUCCAGGUUCAAGUGCGUAGGCUUAAGAGUUAGGUAAAUCCGGCUCUUUUUAAGGCUGAGACACGACGUCGAGCACCUACGGGUGUGAAGUCAUUGAUGCCAUGCUUCCAGGAAAAGCCUCUAAGCUUCAGAUUGUAAGGAAUCGUACCCCAAACCGACACAGGUGGUCGGGUAGAGAAUACCAAGGCGCUUGAGAGAACUCGGGUGAAGGAACUAGGCAAAAUGGUACCGUAACUUCGGGAGAAGGUACGCUCUCGACGGUGAAGUCCCUUGCGGAUGGAGCUAUUGAGAGUCGCAGAUACCAGGUGGCUGCAACUGUUUAUUAAAAACACAGCACUGUGCAAAAUCGUAAGAUGACGUAUACGGUGUGACGCCUGCCCGGUGCCGGAAGGUUAAUUGAUGGGGUUAGACUUCGGUCGAAGCUCUUGAUCGAAGCCCCGGUAAACGGCGGCCGUAACUAUAACGGUCCUAAGGUAGCGAAAUUCCUUGUCGGGUAAGUUCCGACCUGCACGAAUGGCGUAAUGAUGGCCACGCUGUCUCCACCCGAGACUCAGUGAAAUUGAAAUCGCUGUGAAGAUGCAGUGUACCCGCGGCUAGACGGAAAGACCCCGUGAACCUUUACUACAGCUUGGCACUGAACAUUGACCCUACAUGUGUAGGAUAGGUGGGAGGCUUUGAAGCACGUACGCCAGUAUGUGUGGAGCCGUCCUUGAAAUACCACCCUUGUAGUGUUGAUGUUCUAACGUUGACCCCUUAUCGGGGUUGCGGACAGUGCCUGGUGGGUAGUUUGACUGGGGCGGUCUCCUCCCAAAGAGUAACGGAGGAGCACGAAGGUGGGCUAAUCACGGUUGGACAUCGUGAGGUUAGUGCAAUGGCAUAAGCCCGCUUGACUGCGAGAAUGACAAUUCGAGCAGGUGCGAAAGCAGGUCAUAGUGAUCCGGUGGUUCUGAAUGGAAGGGCCAUCGCUCAACGGAUAAAAGGUACUCCGGGGAUAACAGGCUGAUACCGCCCAAGAGUUCAUAUCGACGGCGGUGUUUGGCACCUCGAUGUCGGCUCAUCACAUCCUGGGGCUGAAGUCGGUCCCAAGGGUAUGGCUGUUCGCCAUUUAAAGUGGUACGCGAGCUGGGUUUAGAACGUCGUGAGACAGUUCGGUCCCUAUCUGCCGUGGGCGUUGGAAGAUUGAAGGGGGCUGCUCCUAGUACGAGAGGACCGGAGUGGACGAACCUCUGGUGUUCGGGUUGUGUCGCCAGACGCAUUGCCCGGUAGCUAAGUUCGGAAUCGAUAACCGCUGAAAGCAUCUAAGCGGGAAGCGAGCCCUGAGAUGAGUCUUCCCUGAUACUUUAAGUAUCCUAAAGGGUUGUCGGAGACUACGACGUUGAUAGGUCAGGUGUGUAAGUGCUGUGAGGCAUUGAGCUAACUGAUACUAAUUGCCCGUGAGGCUUAACCA